Molecule: transfer RNA, 72 nt
Filed under: Camelus bactrianus (Bactrian camel)
Lineage: Eukaryota; Metazoa; Chordata; Mammalia; Artiodactyla; Camelidae
Also listed under: 2 other names
Rfam family: tRNA
About the family: Transfer RNA (tRNA) molecules are approximately 80 nucleotides in length. Their secondary structure includes four short double-helical elements and three loops (D, anti-codon, and T loops).
Source: Rfam by way of RNAcentral
GAAGGUAUAGCUCAGUGGUAGAGUGCAUGCUUAGCAUGCACGAGAUCCCAGGUUCAAUCCUUGGUGCCUCCC